AAACCGUGUACGUACAAGCAGUGGGAGCACGCUUAGGCGUGUGACUGCGUACCUUUUGUAUAAUGGGUCAGCGACUUAUAUUCUGUAGCAAGGUUAACCGAAUAGGGGAGCCGAAGGGAAACCGAGUCUUAACUGGGCGUUAAGUUGCAGGGUAUAGACCCGAAACCCGGUGAUCUAGCCAUGGGCAGGUUGAAGGUUGGGUAACACUAACUGGAGGACCGAACCGACUAAUGUUGAAAAAUUAGCGGAUGACUUGUGGCUGGGGGUGAAAGGCCAAUCAAACCGGGAGAUAGCUGGUUCUCCCCGAAAGCUAUUUAGGUAGCGCCUCGUGAAUUCAUCUCCGGGGGUAGAGCACUGUUUCGGCAAGGGGGUCAUCCCGACUUACCAACCCGAUGCAAACUGCGAAUACCGGAGAAUGUUAUCACGGGAGACACACGGCGGGUGCUAACGUCCGUCGUGAAGAGGGAAACAACCCAGACCGCCAGCUAAGGUCCCAAAGUCAUGGUUAAGUGGGAAACGAUGUGGGAAGGCCCAGACAGCCAGGAUGUUGGCUUAGAAGCAGCCAUCAUUUAAAGAAAGCGUAAUAGCUCACUGGUCGAGUCGGCCUGCGCGGAAGAUGUAACGGGGCUAAACCAUGCACCGAAGCUGCGGCAGCGACGCUGAUGCGUUGUUGGGUAGGGGAGCGUUCUGUAAGCCUGCGAAGGUGUGCUGUGAGGCAUGCUGGAGGUAUCAGAAGUGCGAAUGCUGACAUAAGUAACGAUAAAGCGGGUGAAAAGCCCGCUCGCCGGAAGACCAAGGGUUCCUGUCCAACGUUAAUCGGGGCAGGGUGAGUCGACCCCUAAGGCGAGGCCGAAAGGCGUAGUCGAUGGGAAACAGGUUAAUAUUCCUGUACU
RNAcentral lists this ribosomal RNA (893 nucleotides) under Escherichia coli. RNAcentral describes it as "partial 23S ribosomal RNA". It matches the Rfam family "Bacterial large subunit ribosomal RNA", at positions 553 to 1445 of the family's 2925-position model. Lineage: Bacteria; Pseudomonadati; Pseudomonadota; Gammaproteobacteria; Enterobacterales; Enterobacteriaceae. The record is from RNAcentral.